AGUGAACGCUGGCGGUAGGCCUAACACAUGCAAGUCGAACGGCAGCACAGUAAGAGCUUGCUCUUACGGGUGGCGAGUGGCGGACGGGUGAGGAAUACAUCGGAAUCUACUUUUUCGUGGGGGAUCACGUAGGGAAACUUACGCUAAUACCGCAUACGACCUACGGGUGAAAGCAGGGGAUCUUCGGACCUUGCGCGAUUGAAUGAGCCGAUGUCGGAUUAGCUAGUUGGCGGGGUAAAGGCCCACCAAGGCGACGAUCCGUAGCUGGUCUGAGAGGAUGAUCAGCCACACUGGAACUGAGACACGGUCCAGACUCCUACGGGAGGCAGCAGUGGGGAAUAUUGGACAAUGGGCGCAAGCCUGAUCCAGCCAUACCGCGUGGGUGAAGAAGGCCUUCGGGUUGGAAAGCCCUUUUGUUGGGAAAGAAAAGCAGCAGGUUAAUACCCCGCUGUUCUGACGGUACCCAAAGAAUAAGCACCGGCUAACUUCGUG
RNAcentral lists this ribosomal RNA (492 nucleotides) under uncultured bacterium. RNAcentral describes it as "partial 16S ribosomal RNA". It matches the Rfam family "Bacterial small subunit ribosomal RNA", at positions 29 to 507 of the family's 1533-position model. The record is from RNAcentral.